CCUUGACAUCCAGAGAACUUAGCAGAGAUGCUUUGGUGCCUUCGGGAACUCUGAGACAGGUGCUGCAUGGCUGUCGUCAGCUCGUGUUGUGAAAUGUUGGGUUAAGUCCGCAACGAGCGCAACCCUUAUCCUUUGUUGCCAGCGGUUCGGCCGGGAACUCAAAGGAGACUGCCGGUGAUAAACCGGAGGAAGGUGGGGAUGACGUCAAGUCAUCAUGGCCCUUACGGCCAGGGCUACACACGUGCUACAAUGGCGCAUACAAAGAGAAGCGACCUCGCGAGAGCAAGCGGACCUCAUAAAGUGCGUCGUAGUCCGGAUUGGAGUCUGCAACUCGACUCCAUGAAGUCGGAAUCGCUAGUAAUCGUAGAUCAGAAUGCUACGGUGAAUACGUUCCCGGGCCUUGUACACACCGCCCGUCACACCACGGGAGUGGGUUGCAAAAGAAGUAGGUAGCUUAACCUUCGGGAGGGCGCUUACCACUUUGUGAUUCAUGACUGGGGUGAAGUCGUAACAAGGUAAGCGUAGCGAG
This 529-nucleotide ribosomal RNA is filed under the name uncultured bacterium. Its description in RNAcentral is "bacterial SSU rRNA". It matches the Rfam family "Bacterial small subunit ribosomal RNA", at positions 979 to 1509 of the family's 1533-position model. The record is from RNAcentral.